UAGAAUCAUUUGUCAUAUGCACUGUGCU
Molecule: small RNA, 28 nt
Filed under: Bombyx mori (domestic silkworm)
Lineage: Eukaryota; Metazoa; Arthropoda; Insecta; Lepidoptera; Bombycidae
Description: ovarian small RNA-21845
Source: RNAcentral